Molecule: ribosomal RNA, 764 nt
Filed under: uncultured bacterium
Lineage: Bacteria
Description: bacterial SSU rRNA
Rfam family: Bacterial small subunit ribosomal RNA
Source: RNAcentral
GUAUCCAACCUGCCCACCACUUGGGGAUAACCUUGCGAAAGUAAGACUAAUACCCAAUGACGUUUCUAGAAGACAUCUGAAGGAGAUUAAAGAUUUAUCGGUGAUGGAUGGGGAUGCGUCUGAUUAGCUUGUUGGCGGGGUAACGGCCCACCAAGGCGACGAUCAGUAGGGGUUCUGAGAGGAAGGUCCCCCACAUUGGAACUGAGACACGGUCCAAACUCCUACGGGAGGCAGCAGUGAGGAAUAUUGGUCAAUGGGCGAGAGCCUGAACCAGCCAAGUAGCGUGCAGGAAGACGGCCCUAUGGGUUGUAAACUGCUUUUAUAAGGGAAUAAAGUGAGUCUCGUGAGACUUUUUGCAUGUACCUUAUGAAUAAGGACCGGCUAAUUCCGUGCCAGCAGCCGCGGUAAUACGGAAGGUCCGGGCGUUAUCCGGAUUUAUUGGGUUUAAAGGGAGCGUAGGCCGGAGAUUAAGCGUGUUGUGAAAUGUAGACGCUCAACGUCUGCACUGCAGCGCGAACUGGUUUCCUUGAGUACGCACAAAGUGGGCGGAAUUCGUGGUGUAGCGGUGAAAUGCUUAGAUAUCACGAAGAACUCCGAUUGCGAAGGCAGCUCACUGGAGCGCAACUGACGCUGAAGCUCGAAAGUGCGGGUAUCGAACAGGAUUAGAUACCCUGGUAGUCCGCACGGUAAACGAUGGAUGCCCGCUGUUGGCCUGAACAGGUCAGCGGCCAAGCGAAAGCAUUAAGCAUCCCACCUGGGGAGUA